RNAcentral lists this ribosomal RNA (119 nucleotides) under Sinocyclocheilus anshuiensis. Lineage: Eukaryota; Metazoa; Chordata; Actinopteri; Cypriniformes; Cyprinidae. The record is from RNAcentral.
GCUUACGGCCAUACCACCCUCUCUGCACCCGAUCUCGUCUGAUCUCGGAAGCUAAGCAGGGUUGGGCCUGUUUAGUACUUGGAAGGGAGACCGCCUGGGAAUACAAGGUGCUGUAAGCU